RNAcentral lists this long non-coding RNA (37155 nucleotides) under Populus trichocarpa (black cottonwood). Its description in RNAcentral is "long non-coding RNA (PTRI_LNC000473)". Lineage: Eukaryota; Viridiplantae; Streptophyta; Magnoliopsida; Malpighiales; Salicaceae. The record is from RNAcentral.
UUUGGUAUGAGAGUGAGAAUAGCAUUGGCUGAAAAGGCUGUAAAGUAUGAGUACAGUGAACAAGAUUUGUGGAACAAAGGUGCUUUACUUCUUCAAAUGAAUCCUGUUCACAAGAGAAUCCCAGUUCUUGUCCAUGAUGGGAAACCUAUUUUUGAGUCACUUAUCAUUGUUCAGUAUAUUGAUGAGGUGUGGAAGGAUAAGGCUCCUUUGUUGCCUUCUGAUCCCUACGAGAGAGCUCAAUCUAGGUUCUGGGCAGAUUUUGUUGAUAAGAAGGUAAGUUAUUUUUUUGUAAAUAAAUAUAAAGGGUUCAUCUUUUGUGUUUUCUAUUAUUGUUUGGUUUUGAGCCAUGACCUGAUUAAACCCACAUUGCAAUUUGAUUAGUUUGAAUUUUACAUCGCCAGUACAAUUAGCCUGAAGAAUAAUAUCAAAUUACGGAAGAAAUUAGGCAUCGCCAGUAGAAUUAAUUAGCCUGAAGAAUAAUUUCACGAUAUGGAAUGGUGGAGAAGUCUGAUCAUUAUAACAAAUUAACCAUUAAGGUUUCUGAUCAUUUCAUUUUUGAUGAACUAUAUUUUCAUUCUUGUGAGUUCAUGAGAGUUAAAUUGAUUGGAUCCAAUUCUUGUUGAUGUUUCUGUAUAAGGAUCACCAAAUUGAUUGGAUCCAAUUGCUUUAAGAAAUGACAUAUUUAAUGCAUUAAAGACAAGAUUAUGGACUUAGGUGCGCAUUUCUUGAUUAAAAAAAGUCAUUAGUCGAGGGCCAGCUUAUGCGCGCAAGUCCUGAUACUCGUGUUAAAAAAUAAAUAAAUAAUGUUAUCACCAUCUUUGAAUUUAUACUGCUUUGAAUUUCUAACCUCUCUAAGGAUGAAUGGCUUUACCCUCCUCUUUAGACAGAAAUGAAGUACUUGGACCACCUUUGACUUUUGUGAUUCCAAAAAGUCUAUUUGUGGUGAUUUUUUUUAAAAGGAAAUUGUUUGUCUCAAGUUUUAGAAAAUAAUAUAGAUUAAAAAAAUAUUAGAAAAAUAAUAUAGUUCAAUAUAACCAUGUUUUUAAAUAUUAUUUUUCUAUACAAUUAUUAUUUCCGUUUAGUUAAACGAUAAAAUAUGUUAAUAAAAUUUUGGGGUUAAUUUUUUGUAUAUAUAAAUUAAUUUGCAUGAGAUAUAUAUUUUGAUUUUUAACUAAAUAACCGUUGUUUCUAAUAAUAAUAAUAAAAAACACAGUUUUUUUAAACUGUUCUAUUUCCAUUGGAUGUAUUUGCCAAAACUUUUACCUAAUUAUGUGUGGUGACCAUUAUACUAAUUUGUUAUGCAAUGGUGUGAUAUGAACCUUCAGUUAUAUGAGCUUGGGAAGAAGAUAUAUACAACAAAAGGAGAAGAUCAGGAGGCAGCAAAGAAGGAUUUCAUUGACAGCCUCAAGCUUUUGGAAGGAGAGCUUGGAGACAAGCCUUACUUUGGGGGCGACACCCUCGGUUACGUUGAUGUAGCACUACUUCCUUUCUAUUGCUGGUUUUAUGCCUAUGAAACCAUCGGCAACUUCAAUAUAGAGGCUGAUUGUCCGAAGCUGAUUGCUUACUGUAAGAGGUGCUUGGAGAAAGAGAGUGUAUCCAAGUCCCUUGAAGAUCCACAGAAAGUCUAUGAUUUUGUUGUGAUGCUGAGGAAGAAGUUUAAUUGGGCUUGAGUAGUGUUCAUCCAUAGGCAAGGAGGUGCUAUUUCGUGUUAAGAACUUGUACUUAUGUUGUGUGUGAUUUAUGUUUCAAAUAAGGCGGGCACUUAUUUGUGCCUCUAAUAUGUUUAUAUUCUGAGGUACUUUAUUGUGCCUGAGAUAGUAUGUGGUUUUUCUUGAAAUCUUUCCCUUCAAGUAUAAAAAGGCUGGCACCUCUUUGUUCAACACGUCUAUGCCAUGCAGUCAAUAAGACAACUCUGCAAAACCUCGUGUAAAAAUAUAGUGGAUUUUCUAUGGAACUGGGCUCGAGAACCUGGUGUAAAAAUUGAUUACAAUCUAAUAGUCAAAUAUUUUGUUAUUGACUUUUGUAAUCACUAUUCUGGUCUAGUAUAUCAAACCGAACCUAAAUUUAUCUUAUAAAUUCAUUUGUUAAGCCAUACUCCUUAUGGCCAUAUAUAUUGCUAUCCAAAAAUAUUAAUAUUCAAUUAUCCGUCGGUAACGCGCCCCAAUAAAAAGCCAGAAUCCCUUUAUUUCACAAGAGACAGACUCAUUUCUUCUCCUUAUUAUUCUUCUUCUUGUUCUUCUACUUCUUCUUGUUCUUCUUCUUCACUAUAUGUAAAAAACAUUAAUAUAUAUUUCUUUCUCUUCUUUUCUCUCCUCAUCUCCUUCUCUUUUCCUCAAUGCUUGGGUAUGUCUUCUUCUUCUUUCUUUUUUUAUCCUCUUAGUUUUUUUUUUAAUUAAUAUGCUUAACGAAAUUUUUUUUCUCUCCUUAGCUUCACUUGCAACUACAUUAAGGUAAGAUUUUUCUUUUUUCAUGAUUUUUUUCACUAUAUUUGUUUUUUAUUUUAUUUUUAAUUGUUUUUGUUCUUAAUAAUUGUAUAAAUAUUGUUGUGAGAUUUUUUUUUCAUAUGAGAUCAAUUUUUAGUUGAAUUAGUUAUAGGAUUUUUAAAUUUUUAGCAAUUGCAACUUUAUUUUUUUUAUAUGAAUUUUUUUAGUUGAAUUUAUUUUUUCGUUUUAUUUAUUUGUUGCAAAUUUGUUUGAGUUGAUUUUCUUAUUUUUUUCUCCAAGCAUUUUGAGUAUAUAUUAUACAGUGUUAAUUUAUGCUAAUUUAAUUAUUUUAUAAUUUUAUAAAAUGAUUUUUUUUAAAAUGUUUUUAAAUAAUUACCGACGGAAUUACCGACGGAAAUUCCAUCGGUAAUUCCGUCGGUAAAUCCGUUGGUAAUAAAAAAAUAUCAUUACCGAGGGAUAUACCGACGAAAUGAAGCGGAUAAAUUUAUUUUUUUAUUACCAACGGAUUUAUCGACGGAAAAAAAAUUACCGACGAAAAGAUUCACCGACGGAGCAUUUCCGUCGGUGAUUCCGUCGGAAAAUUAAUUACCGACGGAAUAUGUGUCUUACGCCGACGGAAAAAUUUCAUCAGUAAAACUGUUAAAUCUUGUAGUGUCUGGAUAGAUCAAUCUCCGAAUACUUUAUAUAGAAGGAGAAGGAAACAAAAGGAUGAGGAAAAAGGCAAAUGAGAGCGUGGGUUCCUGGAUUACGUAAUCUGCUAGAAUGUUCAACACGUCUAUGCCAUGCAGUCAAUAAGACAACUCUGGAAAACCGGCCAUACUUACUCACAUCAGCCCUUUCUUACCAUAAAUACUUGCAUUUCCACAAUGACAAACCACGGCCUUUUUAGUCUAAGAAAACCAAGAAGCGUUACUUUACUUCAAGAAUCUUCUUUUUCACUUCAAGAAUGGCUGGUGAUCAAGUAACCCUGUUGAAUUUCUAGGCAAGUCCAUUUGGUAUGAGAGUGGGAAUAGAAUUGGCUGAAAAGGCUGUAAAAUACGAGUACAGUGAAGAAUUUUCUUAGCUGCAUUUAAGUGAGACUGAGCUGGUGUCUCCAUAUAUCUGCUAAUAAGUCCUACUGAGUAUAUCCGGUCUAGUACAUGUCAAAUACCUCAAGCUUCCUACUAAGCUUUUAAAGUAGGUUGGAUCAACAUUACCUACUUUACUCUUCUUCAAUUCCACUCCAUUCUCAACUGGAGUUGAUACCCGAUUGCAUCUUUCUAGCUUGAACAUUUCAAGAAUAUCUUUGGCGUAAUUGCUUUGAGAUAUAAAAAUCCCUUCUUCUUUAUGCGUCACUUCAAAACCAAGAAAAUGUGUCUUUAGACCAAUGUCUGUCAUCUCAAACUCCUGUACCAUGCUUUUCUUAAAAUCUUCAAACAUGGUAGAUUGUUGCCGGUGAAUAUCAAGUCAUCAACAUAUAGGCAUGUAAAUAAUGUGCUUCCAUCAACUUCUUUCUUCACAUAUAUUGCGUGCUCAUAUGGACAUUUAUCAAAUCCAUUUUCUUGAAAAUACCUGUCAAUUUUGGUAUUUCAAGCACGCGGAGCUUGCUUCAAACCGUAGAGGGCUUUCUUCAACUUCUAUACUUUGCCUUCAUUUUCGGCUUCAACGUAUCCAAGUGGUUGUUCAACAUAGAUCUCUUCUUGUAGGAAGCCAUUUAAAAAUGCUGACUUCACAUCGAGUUGAUAGAUCUUCCAUCUAUGUUGUGCAGCUAGUGAGAUCAUUAGUCUAAUUGUCUCUAGCUGGGCUACGGGAGCAAAUAUUUCUCCAUAGUCAAUGCCUUCUCUCUUUUUGUAGCCUUUUGCCACCAAUCUUGCUUUCUAUCUUUGUACUUCACCUUUUGCAUUCUUCUUCGUCUUAUAGAUCCAUUUGACACCUAUUGCUUUCUUGUUGUCUAGUAGAUUAGUCAGCUUCCAGGUAUCAUUCUUUUCAAUGGCAUGCAUUUCUUCAUCCAUUGCUUCAAUCAAUUUCUCUUAUGUGACAACUUCAUUGAAACUAAGUGGGUCACUAUCUGCAAAGAAACAAAAUAAAGUUGUAUCUUCAAUGACUUGAGUGGCCUCGUAUAACUCUUCUAGAUUUCUCAUCCUUCUUGGUGCUUCUUAUGAGGAUGCUGAUGAUGGUGUUGAUGAUGAUCCUGGUGUGUUUCUCUUGUUAAAUACAGGGGAUCUUUGUACCGGACUUUGUGGCUCAUUUGCUGGUAAUAUUGGACCUUCUGCAAGUACUGUUGGUACUUCCACUUCAUCUUCAAGGAUCAAAUCAGUGCUUAUCCAUUUAAUUGCUUCUUGGUCAUCAUUCCAUUGCCAAGUUUUAUCUUCUUCAAAGAUAACAUCUUUACUCAUAAUUACCUUAUUUGUGAUGAGAUUAUACAGCUUGUAUCCCAUCCUUCUAUCACCAUAUCCGACAAAGAUGCAUUUCUCGCUUUUAUCAUUAAGUUUGUUCAUUCUUGCAUCUGGGAUCUUUGCAUAUGCCACACAACCAAAGACUCGUAGAUGAGUAACACUUGGUUUGUGACCACUCCAUGCUUCUUCUGGAGUGACAACUUGCAAACUUCUGGUUGGGCAGCGAUUCAUUAGAUACACUGCACAUGAUACAACUUCAGCCCAGUAUUGUUUGAGCAUCUUCUUUUCUUUGAGUAAACUUCUUGCCAUGUCAAGAAUCGUUCCAUUCUUUCUCUCAGCUACACCAUUCAAUUAUGGUGUAUAGGCUGGCGUUGUCUGAUGCCUUGUUGUGUACAAAAGGCUUCAAAGUCAUUUGAAGUAUAUUCUCCACCUUGAUCAGAUCUCACAGUUCUGAUCUUAUAGACACUUUGCUUCUCAACAAUUGCUUUAAAAUCUUUAAAACAAUUCAACACUUCUGACUUCCUCUUCAGAAAGUAUAUCCAUGUUUUCUUGCUGAAAUCAUCAAUGAAAGUAAGGAAGUACCUAUUUUGUCCAGUUGAUAUAGGCUUUAUGGGACCACACACAUCUGUGUGCAUUAACUCCAAUGACUUAUUUGCUUUCCAGUUGACUUCUUUGGAAAAACUAGAUCUGUGAUGUUUGUUGAGGACACAACUCUCACAGACUUCAUCUGGAUGAUCAAUGUGGGGCAUACCUUUGACCAUCUUCUUGCUUGCUAGCAUCUUCAAACUUGUGAAAUUUAGAUGUCCAAGCCUUAGGUGCCAGAGCCACUCUUAAUUGUUGGUGAUGACACUCAAACACUUUGCUGCAUCAUAUUAAAUGUUUAAAGGAAACAUCCUAUUUUUGGACAUCUUCACAUAGGCAAUUAAUCUCCCGUUGUAGUCUUUGAUCGUCAGAUGACAAUUCUUCAUGAAAAGAGUAUAACCUUCUCCAGAAGUUGACCUACACUCAACAUAGUUGGCUUGUUCACGUACCUCUAAUGGAGCUUUCCUUCGACAUUCAGUGCUAUAGUGCCAAAAUUGAUUGCAACUAUAGCACUGGAUAUUCCUCUUGUCAUGGUUAUUGUAACCGCCUCCUCUUCUUCUAGGUGUAAAUGCUUGUUGUCCUCGGCCUUGCCUUAUCUUCGUUUCUUUUCAUAAUCUUUUGCUCAUGAGCUUGCAAAGAACUCAUAAGCUCAUCCACCAUCAAUUUGUCCACUUCUUUGGACUCUUUAAUAUCGACAACAAUAAAAUCAAAUUUUGGAUCUAGGGAUCUCAAAAGCUUCUUAGUAAUCCAAGCAUCUGUAAGGGCUUCUUCAUUUCUUCUCAUUUGAUUGACUAUCACCAUAAUUCUUGUGUGAUAAUCAGAAAUAGAUUUCGAGGACUUCAUUUGUAAUAAUUCAAAUUCACCUCGCAUAGAUUGGAGACAAAUCUUCUUAUUCUGUCAGCACCUUUGUAUUUUUGUUGGAGAGCCUUCCAUAUCUCUUUUGAUGUUUCUGCAAAAGCAAUAAUCUCAAAUAUGGCUUCAUCAAGACCUUGAUAGAUGAUGGUCUUUGCUUUGUUGUCUUUCUUUCUAUUGGCUUUGAGGACUUGCUUCUGUGCCUCUUGUAGAGCAUCUUCUUCUUAUUUGGACUCUGGUUCGUCAUAACCAUAUUGCACAAUCUCUAAACACUAUUGUGAACCAAGAAAUGCUUUCAAUUUGAUACACCAACUAUCCUAAUUGUCUUUGGUCAGCUUCAGGAUGAGUGUUUGUGCAUUUUCUGUAGCCAUUUUACUCUUUGAAUGACUGUAUCACCUUCUGAGAGUUGAAUUUGGAAAAACGGACAUUGUAGAUGGAUCCGGAAUGACCAAAAUAGUAGGUAACCAGUCUGAUUUGGUUGAAAUGGGUUAGAAAUGGGCUGAACUGGUUAAAACACUGAUUUUGGAUGUUGGUCGGUUGACUGGGUUGAACCGGGAAUAUUCUUCAGCGCGGCUUGCGGCUCAGCUCCGGAAUAACAACUUGGCAGCUCGACUCGGUUGAAAUAUGGCGCGUGUGUACUCCAGUCAUCGUUUUCCUCUGAGCGCGUCGGCUAAGAGUGGGCUAUAAUGCUAUACUUUUAGGCGGAGCAUGUUGUCCACCUCUUGCUCUGAUGAAUCUAAUUUUUACACCGUUGAGUUUGUAUUGAUGAACCCUACACGGUGGAAUGAUCAAAAAGUGUUUUGGACAACUUUAAAAAAUCGGAUGUAUCCCAACAACGCCUCUGUUUUUGUUAAGAACAAGGCUCUGAUACCAUUUGUUGGUGGGAGAGACCACUGGUGGUGGCUUUGAAACACUUAGAGGGGAUAAAACACAUGGUUUUAUUACAACAACAAAAAGCUUACAAAAUAAAUAAAAGCUCUUAAACACACCUUGUCUUUCUCUCUAGUGUUUCUCUCUUAUAUUUUCCACACACAAUAACAUAAACUUAGUUGUCUAUUUAUACACAAAUUGAAAGUAAGAAGAAUCAAAGUUCAAGUGUCAACAUAUAUAGUUGUUGGUGCUGUGAAUGCGGAUGGCGGUGUGAGAAGGCGGCUGGCGGUGACUGCAGGCGGUGGCUGCCAUCUUUGACUUUUUGGAUUGAGUUUAAUGCAACACCGGGCAGAUUUUGUUGACAAAAAGGUAUGCUAUUUUUUUUGGUAAAUAAAGGGUUCAUCUUUUUUGUUUUUGAUUUUGUUUUGAUUUGAGGUAUGACUUGAUUAAACCCACAUUGCAAUUUUAUCGGUUUCUGAGAAUUAGAAUUUUACAUCAUCAGUACAAUUUAGCCCUAAGACUAAUAUCAAGGAAAAUAUUUGUGUUAUAUGAAUAUGCAGAUAUAUGACCUCGGGAGGAACAUAUAGACAACAAAAGGAGAAGAUCAGGAGUCAGCCAAGAAGGAUUUCAUUGACAGCCUCAAGCUGUUGGAAGGAGAGCUUGGAGACAAGCCUUACUUUGGGGGCGAGACCCUCGGCUACAUUUAUGUUAAGGACCACAUGACAAAGGAAGUGCUUCUUUCCAGUUGGAGUAGAGAUGGUUUAUAUGUUUUGUCUGAGUCGUCUGCAACGUCAUUGCCUCAGGUUUUCUCAUCUACAUGUCUCUCUACUUCCGCUGAUGUCUGACAUCGUUGAUGUGGGCAUCCCAGUCCAUGUAUUCUGCAUUUUUUAUGCCAGAAUGAUGAUUCUGCCAGCAUCUACUUGUAAAAGCCAAAGGCCUUGUUUGAUAAAAUUGGUACGGCUGGCAGACCGAUCUCCUUGGCAGAAUUCAACUAAUGUAAAACCUCCAGGCGAAAAAUCAUAAAUUGACUAGUUUCAUGUAAAACAAAACAAAAUUCAUAACUCUUGAUUGAUCUAUUAGAAAAUUCUGAAAAUUUGUGUGAAGUCUUCUAAGAUGAUGCCUUAGCUUGGGUUAAAAUUUCAGAAUUUUUAGAGAAAUUCAGAAAGUUGACGAAAAAUCAUAAUUUGACUAGUUUUACGUUAUUGGACGUAAGUUUUAAUCCGACCAUCAGAUUGAGCUGAAAUUUUAUGAUGAACCUUAAAAUAUAUUGAAUAAAAUCUGGUUAAAAUUUUAGGAUGAACGGAGAGUGCUAGCAAAAAAAUAAGGACAGUCAAAUAAAAGGAAAAUACUCAUUAAGGGUAAAAUGGUUAUUUGCCAUUAAAAAGAAAACAAAUAAACUCUCAUUCUCUUUUAUAAACUGCCGACUGGGCAGAAGAAAAAUAUGAAAAGAAAGAACAGAAAAGAACGUGAGAGAAAGAGAGAAAAGUAAGGAAAAACAAUAAGAAAAUUGAGAGAAUAACCUUGUAAACUUGCAAGUUCAACUUAUAAAAUACUAAAUCAAGUGAAGGAAGGAGGAAUUGAGAAAGGGAAUUCGACUAACUUUGGAAGAGAAGAGAAAUUAAUUGGAAGAAAGUCAAAAGGUAAGCAUGAGAAGUUUGGAUUUAAUGUUUGAUUUAUAUGUUUUUUUUAAAGCUUACUUGAUUAAGUUAGGAAGUAAUUUCAUGGAAUUUUACUUUAAUUUCCCUUAAAUCCUUGAUUCUUGAACUUAGGGUUCUUAUGUGAAUUUGGGGGAAUUAGGAGGGGAAGGAAAAAUGAUGAAGUUGAAGUGGAGUAGAAUGAAAAAAAGUUGAAAUAACAAGUAAAUGAAGAAAAAUUUGGGGGAGGAAAAGAAACAUCACAUUCGACCAAAUGAAGAAAAAAGUGGAAGAAUGAGUUUUGAUGUUAAUGUUUAGAAAACCAUGUUUAAUCAUGAUAUUUGAAAUAUGUAAGAAAAAAUAGCGCUCAUGAGGUAAAACAAGACACAAAAUAAAAAUGUUGAAUGAUUCCAGGAAUGAUGAAUAGAGACAUAAUAAUAGAAUGUUAAAUGAGAAUCUCAAAGAACUGUGAUUGCUCAUCGUUGAAUAUAUGUUUAAUUACCUAUGCAUGUAUUAUGUGAUUUUCCUUCUAUGCUAUAUUUUAUUCUUACUAUAUUUAAUCUAUACAUUAUGAAAUUGCAGGUCCUUCAGAUUCACGCCAGGAGUAGUGUUUUAGGUCUAGUCUCCUUUUGUAUGAUUAAAUAAAAAGAUGAACAUUAAUGUAUUUUGUCUUUAAGGAACUAAAUAACUUAAUAUGUAAUAGUACUCCUUUUACAUUAAGUGUCAAGACAUAAAAAUAUACUAUUUUGUAUUUGUAAUCUUAAUGUUUGUUUACUUUCAUUUAUUAUGAAUUAUGUGUGUUAAUGGUAAAGAAAUGAACAUGUGAAAUGUUAUGCAUGUACAAUGAAUGAUGUGUUGUUGAGGUUCUACAUGAUUAUGAUAUGAUUGAGAAAUGAGUAUAAUUGUACAGGAUGAUUGUCGAUAACUUGGGACCUCCAGGUAUAAGGGAAACUCUGCCGAAAUUUCGGCGGGAAUUUCGGCAAGUCUUAGAUAAGUUUGAUGGAAGAAAAAAAAACCCCAUUUUUUUAAGUUAUGGCUCAAAGUUCUUUUAUGAAUGUAUUAAAUUACGGGGUGUUACAAGGACACUGGUUCUCCUCUGGUUCUCCCUCUCGGACAAUAGGAAAUUUUGGGCAGCAAGGUAACCCUUUUUGUGGGUAUAAUCGCAAUGUAAAGUGUCAGCUGUGUUAUGAAUAUGGGCAUACUGCCCAACAGUGUUCUCGGUUGGCUACUCAUCCUCUCCAAGCCAAUGCCAAUCUCGUAUUUAAUAAUGCCUUUACAACUACUCUUGUCACUUGGUUUCCUGAUACAGGUGGAAAUCAUCAUGUAACGCCGGAUCUUGCGAGCAUGAUGAGUUCAAAACCUUACCUUGGUAAUGAUCAUUUGCAUGUGGGUGAUGGUUGUCGCACCCUCCCGAGAGCUCGACGUCGCGGCGACCCGUCCUCGUAGCCGUGAUUGAUUGUUGGGGUCUUUCUGUUGUGAAAAAGGGAGUCGCCACCUAGUAUUAAGGUCACUAGAAAACCUAACUGGUCUUUCAGAGAUCCUAAGGCAAGGGACUGGUUGCGUAAAGGGAAGGUUUUAGCACCCCUAGUACGCCCUACCUAAGGUAAGCUGCUUGGUGUUUGAUUUGCCUUAUAACUGUCAUGGUGUUGAUGUUCUCUAAUCCCAUCCGUUUCCUAGGAUAAGUCUGCUCUGAUGAACGAAAUCUAGGGUGCUUUAAAAACCUAUUUUUGUCUUAAUGUUUUGUACUCUCACGGCUCGCAAACCGUGGAGUAAAAAAUUUUGAAAUGUCCUCGAUUAUAAUCAAGGCUUCUUUCAAGGAUGUGUGUAGAUUUAUUAUUCCUAGAAAAUUAUUUUGGAUAUUUACCACUCCGGGUUUCUUUAUCCAAAUAUUAAAAGUGAAUAAUAACAAAUUAUCCCCAAUAAUAUUUUGGAUAUUCGUCCUAUAAGGAUUUCUUUAUCCAAACAUUAGUGGUGAAUAAUAACAAAUUAUCCCCAAUAAUAUUUUGGAUAUUCGUCCUUUAGGGAUUUAUUUAUCCAAACAUUAGUGGUGAAUAAUAACAAAUUAUCCCCAAUAAUAUUUUGGAUAUUCGUCCUUUAGGGAUUUCUUUAUCCAAACAUUAGUGGUGAAUAAUAGAUGAAUUCCCCAAAAAUAAGAUUUUUAUAUUUUUUGGAAUAUUGGCCAAUACCCUUUGGAGUUUUACAAACAUGUUGUAAAAUCCAGAAAUGCAAGAAAAAUGAUUUUUGUUGUGUUUAAGAAAUCCAUGCGAAAACACAUUUUUGAAACUUCAAAUAUUUGUUUUUUAGAUAAAAAAAACGUAAAAACAAUGUUAGGGUAUUGGCCGUAUGCAUGAAAACAAAACAUUUUUUUUAAUAAACAUUUUUUUUUGUUGACGAAAACCGGGUAUUUUAAUACCGGAUUUGUAUAUUUACAGUAUAAAAAUACAAACCGAUAUUGACCAAAAUACAGUAAUAAAAUUACAGAAAAAUCACAAAUUCUUUGAAAUAAUUUUUGAAGAAUUUUUAUUUUUUAUUAUUAUUAAUUUUUUUUUUGGGCUGGGCCCAUGUGGCUGGGCUGAACCCAGCAGCCCUCACGUGAACAGUGAAAUAACAUUUCACUGAAUUAUUUUUGAAGUGAACAGUGAAAUAGCAUUUCACUGUUCAAGUGAAUUAUAUUUCACUUGAACAGUGAAAUGCAAGGAAAUGUACAGCGACGAAGGGGGCAAACCUGGUGGCGGUGGAGAGGAAGUGCUCUGUUCCUGGUAGUGUUGGUGUCGCGGCGGCUGGCUGUGACGGUGGUCGGUGGCUGAGGAUGACGGUGUGCUUCCGGUGAUUGCAGCGGUGGAGGCCGGCGUUGGAAGUAGAGGAAGAAAUCUGCAGAAAUUGGGCGAAAAUGCUGGUUUUUUGGCUGACUUUGGACCCGAUUUUCUCCUCCCCCAGGUCUUCAACAGAGAUUCUAUUUAUAGGCGGUUUAAGAGGGCCAUAUUGUCUAUAUUGGGGAAAGUUUUCAGCCCUUGAUCCGACUCGAGGAAUCCAAACCGUUGGUUCAAAGUGUGCACCUCGAGCUGCCAAAUUUGGCAGCUCAAGGCUGUGAACUGCCCGAGGUGGCCACUUAGAGCCACUCAACGGAGCUGUUUCUAAAUUUUUCAAACCGACCGGACCAUCCUCCGGGAUAAAGGGGUUUCAGGUGGACAUGUUGGUGCAUGUUUUGUCGGAUUUGAAGGCCAUACGAGCCGGAAAAUGCGCCUGGAAAGCAGCCACUCGGGCACCUUUUCGAGGAAGAAAGUGAACAGUAACUGGUUCAUUUUUUUUUAAAUGCAAAACGGCGCCGUUUUUUAUAAAAAUAGGGAUUUCUUUGCCAAUUCUCAAUUUAGUCCUCCGACUUUCAGUUUCGUUCAAUCUCAUCCCUACUUGACCAUUAAACUUUCAAUUUCUUCAAUUUGGCCCCCGAAUUUUGUUAAUUGCAGCCCCUAUACUUGCGCGCCUUUUCCAAUGUGGUCCUUGGUUUUGGAUUUCUUCAAUUAAGUCCCUAAUUGGCCCUUAAACUUCAAUAUUUAUGCAAUUAAGCCCUUGAUUUAACCAAAUCAACUCUCAAAAAUUAUAAUUUGACCCCAGAACUUUAAUUUCUUCCAAUUAAAGCCUAAAUUGACUUAAAACUCAAUUUUCCUUGCAAUCAAAACCUCUAUAAAUUCAAAUAAACCUUCAAUAAAAUCCAAUUGAGUCCAUAAACAUCCAAUUUUGGCCCUUUUCUCUUCAAAUUAAAUUUUCUCUUCCAACAGGGCUCUUCUCAGUCAAAUAUAUACUGUAAAAUUUCACUCCUUGCAUUUCUGAACCUCCUCAAUCAAUUUUUUUUUGAUUCUUUCUGAGCGCUCCCACCUCUUAUUAUUUUUCUAAUCUCCUUUGGCUUUUUAUUUUUGUUUUUUGUGGGGACCCAAAAAUGGGUUACAACAGAUGCCCCCUCUUUAUAAUGCUUACGGAGCAAGGGUUUUGCGCAGUAAGUUUUAUAAAGAUAAACCCAAAACGGAACUCCCGAAACUGAUCUGGUCGAAGUUUGAUUCAUCUGAAACUUGUCUUUUACAGCAAUCCUCCUUAGCCCCCAAAAACUAUGAUCAAAAUUUAGUCAUCUUGAGAUCCCUUCUGGCCAUCUCCUUUGAAUUCUCACUUCAGUUUGAUCAACAUGGAAUUCCAUCCGAGAUCCCUUCCGGCUGUCUCUAAAAAGUCAUAUUUGUAGUUUGUCCAAACUGAAAUCCCAUCUGGCGAUUUCCCUUAGCCAAAGCUAAAAUCGGUAUUACGGUUGGGUUAACCUGAGAUCCCUUCUGGCGACCUCCUUAGCCAAAACCUAUAUUUGUAGCUUACUCACUUUGGAAUCCCAUCCGGUGAUUCAAAACUAAACUCUGUGGGGUUGGGUUAACCUGAGAUCCCAUCUAGCGAUCUCCUUUAACCACAACCAAAACAAAAAAAUGUGUGUGGUCUCAUUAUGAUGGGUGACCUACCCGAGUGGAGAAGGGGAAGAGUGGUCUCAUUCUUAUGGGUGACCUACCCAAAGGGGAAGAAUGGCCUCAUUAUUAUGGGUGACCUACCCAAGUAAAAAAAGAUGGAGAAUGGUCUCAUUCUAAUGGGUGACCUACCCAGAAAAAAAAUGAUGGUCUCAUUGUGAUGGGUGACCUACCCAAGUGGAAAAGGAAAGAGUGGUCUCAUUCUUAUGGGUGACCUACCCAGGGGGAAGAAUGGCCUCAUUAUUAUGGGUGACCUACCCAAGUAAAAAAAAGAUGGAGAAUGGUCUCAUUCUAAUGGGUGACCUACCCAGAAACAAAAUGAUGGUCUCAUUGUGAUGGGUGACCUACCCAAGUGGAAAAGGAAAGAGUGGUCUCAUUCUUAUGGGUGACCUACCCAGGGGGAAGAAUGGCCUCAUUAUUAUGGGUGACCUACCCAAGUAAAAAAAAAAUGGAGAAUGGUCUCAUUCUAAUGGGUGACCUACCCAGAAACAAAAUGAUGGUCUCAUUGUGAUGGGUGACCUACCCAAGUGGAAAAGGAAAGAGUGGUCUCAUUCUUAUGGGUGACCUACCCAGGGGGAAGAAUGGCCUCAUUAUUAUGGGUGACCUACCCAAGUAAAAAAAAGAUGGAGAAUGGUCUCAUUCUAAUGGGUGACCUACCCAGAAACAAAAUGAUGGUCUCAUUGUGAUGGGUGACCUACCCUAGUGGAAAAGGAAAGAGUGGUCUCAUUCUUAUGGGUGACCUACCCAGGGGGAAGAAUGGCCUCAUUAUUAUGGGUGACCUACCCAAGUAAAAAAAAGAUGGAGAAUGGUCUCAUUCUAAUGGGUGACCUACCCAGAAACAAAAUGAUGGUCUCAUUGUGAUGGGUGACCUACCCAAGUAAAAAAAAGAUGGAGAAUGGUCUCAUUCUAAUGGGUGACCUACCCAGAAACAAAAUGAUGGUCUCAUUGUGAUGGGUGACCUACCCAAGUGGAAAAGGAAAGAGUGGUCUCAUUCUUAUGGGUGACCUACCCAGGGGGAAGAAUGACCUCAUUAUUAUGGGUGACCUACCCAAGUAAAAAAAAAGAUGGAGAAUGGUCUCAUUCUAAUGGGUGACCUACCCAGAAACAAAAUGAUGGUCUCAUUGUGAUGGGUGACCUACCCAAGUGGAAAAGGAAAGAGUGGUCUCAUUCUUAUGGGUGACCUACCCAGGGGGAAGAAUGGCCUCAUUAUUAUGGGUGACCUACCCAAGUAAAAAAAAAGAUGGAGAAUGGUCUCAUUCUAAUGGGUGACCUACCCAGAAACAAAAUAAUGGUCUCAUUGUGAUGGGUGACCUACCCAAGUGGAAAAGGAAAGAGUGGUCUCAUUCUUAUGGGUGACCUACCCAGGGGGAAGAAUGGCCUCAUUAUUAUGGGUGACCUACCCAAGUAAAAAAAAGAUGGAGAAUGGUCUCAUUCUAAUGGGUGACCUACCCAGAAAAAAAUGAUGGUCUCAUUAUGAUGGGUGACCUACCUAAGUGGAAAAGGAAAGAGCGGUCUCAUUGUAAUGGGUGACCUACCCAAGAUAAAGGAAAGAGCGGUCUCAUUGUAAUGGGUGACCUACCCAGGUGGAAGAAUGGUCUCAUUGUAAUGGGUGACCCACCCAAAAAAAACAUAGAGAAUUGGUCGCAUUGUAAUGGGUGACCUACCCAGAAAAAUGUUGACAAUGGCUCAAAGGCGCACUUGAAAGGAGGUAGGGUUAGAAAACACACUACCUAAGAAGUGAGGGCUCAAAGGCGCGCUCAAAAGGAGGUAGGGUUAAAAAACACACUACCUGAAUGGUGGUGGCUCAAAGGCACACUCGGAAUGAGGUAGGGUUAGAAAACGCACUACCUAAGAAGUGAGGGCUCAAAGGCACGCUCAAAAUGAGGUAGGGUUAGAAAACGCACUACCUGAGAAAUGGUGAUGAAACACCGAUCUGACACAUGUUGAAAGCAAUGCAUUAUGGUCAAUAUGCAUGUAUGUUUUUGUUACCUAUCUUGGAAACAUAGGUCCCCCUUUCAUCGUAAACUUCUUCGAGCUCUUGUUUCAACCUUUUCUCAUGAACUGAAAUAUACCAUAUCCUCUUAAUGAAGAGAUCUCUGGUUUCUUAUGGGGCCCUUUCUUGCUUCAUUGAGUAUUGUGCUUUAUUAUUAUUUCAAAAGGAAAACACAAAAGAUUUGGUUUUGUUCAUGAAAACUGAAACUUUCAAUGCAAUUAUCAAUUCUCAUAAAAGAUGCUUUUUUUAGAAGUUUUUUAUUACGAUACCCCUUUUGGGCUUUGGUUCACUAUGGACCCCUAUGUGCACUUCGUGCACUUCUUGCCCCCUAGUGUGGUGUACAUAAAUAUGCCAAGUUUUAGAUUUGAUUUGAUUCUCUCCAAUUGAUGGAGUCAUCUCCUUAGUCAUGUGUAAGAAAAGAGUUUGUUUAAGUAAAAUAUUUCAAAUGCGAUGAGAUCAUGCUUUUUAUGAAGAAAGGUUUAGAAAAUUCAUGGCCAAACUUUAUUUUAUUGAUUGGGAGAUUACGGAAUACAUCAAGCGUAAUAUUUCCUUACAGAGUCAGAAUUCACUAGCCUAACUAAAUCUUCUCCAUCCAUUCUAGAUAACAGCAAAGCUCCUCCCAAGAAUGCUUUCUUCACCACGUAAGGGUCCUCAUAGUUCGGCGCCCAUUUACUCUGAUCUUCUCCUGGUAAAGGCAAUAUUUUCUUCAGUACAAGAUCUCCUUCGUGGAAUCCUCGAGGUCGAACCUUUUUGUCGUAUGAUUUGGCCAUCCUUCUUUGGUAAAGUUGAUGAUGACAGAUUGCGGCUAUCCUCUUUUCACUGAUCAGAUUCAGCUGUUCAUAUCUAACUUUUGCCCAUUCUACCUCUUCCAGCUCAGAGUCUACCAGUACUCUCAAUGAGGGGAUUUCCACUUCCAAAGGCAUAACUGCCUCCAUUCCAUAUACCAACGUGUACGGGGUGGCUCCUAUUGAGGUUCGGACUGUGGUGCGAUACGCAUGAAGGGCAAAUGGCAACAUCUUAUGCCAAUCCUUAUAGGCGACUACCAUCUUCUGAAUAAUCUUUUUGACAUUCUUGUUAGCAGCUUCUACCGCACCAUUCAUCUUUGGUCUAUACGGUGAAGAGUUGGAAUGCUUGAUUUUCCAUUUAGUGCAGAGUUCUAUUAUCAUCUUGCCAUUGAAAUUCUGGGCAUUAUCAGUUAUAAUCUUUUCUGGUGGACCAUAUCGACAAAUCAAAUCUCUCUCAAUAAAUUUCUUCACUACUUUUUGCGUCACAUGAGCAAAUGACCCGGCUUCUACCCAUUUUGUAAAGUAGUCGAUAGCUACGAGAAUAAACCUAUGACCAUUGCUGGCUUUUGGGUUUACAGGUCCAAUCACAUCAAUUCCCCACAUCGCGAAGGGCCAUGGAGAUGUCAAGUUAAAUAAAGGAGUUGGAGCGGCGUUGAUUUUGUCACUGUAUACUUGGCACUUAUGACAUUUUCGGACAUAGUCGAUGCAAUCCUUUUCUAAUGUCAUCCAGAAGUAGCCGGCUCUUUGUAUCUUCCUAGCCAUCACAUGUCCAUUAGCAUGGGUUGAGCAAAUCCCUUCAUGGACUUCUCGUAACGCGCUUUUUGCCUCAAAUUCAUCCAAACAUCUCAACAAAGUCCCGUCGAAUGAUUUCUUAUACAAAAUCUCCCCAUCAAGAUAAAAAUCCAUUGCCAACCUCCUCAAGGUCUUCUUGUCGAUUUUGGAUGCCCCCAUGGGAUAUGUCUGGUUUUGGAUGAAAUUCUUGACAUCAUAGUACCAAGGGUUUCCAUCCACUUCUCUUUCGACUGAGCAACAAUGAGCUGGGUUAUUUCUGAUAUUGAUGUGUACUGGUUGUACCUUGUGCCCAAAGUCUAUUUUGGCCAUAGAUGCUAGUGUAGCCAAAGCAUCUGCAAACUGGUUUCCUUCCCUUCCUAGAUGGGUGAACUCUAUUUCCUCAAAUUCUCCAGCCAGUUUAGACAAAUAUUCUUGGUAAGGCCUUAACUUCUCUUCCUUGGUUUGCCAUUCUCCUUUUACUUGGCAAAUGAUCAACAUUGAGUCUCCAUACACAUCUAUCUUUCUGAUGUUUAGCUCCAAUGCAGCCUCUAAACCGAGAAUGCAAGCUUCAUACUCAGCCGUGUUGUUGGUGCACCCGAACUGUAGCUUAACUGAAACCGGAUACUGCUUCUUAUCAGGAGAGAUUAUCACCGCACCCACUCCGUUACCACAUACAUUUACAGCACCAUCAAAGUACAUAAUCCACCAAUUUGAUUUCUCUUCCUCGAUUGAAAGCACAUCUUCAUCGGGAAAUUCAAAGUCUAAUGAUUCAUAAUCUUCUAUAGCAUGGUCAGCCAGGUGAUCGGCAAUAAUACUCCCUUUUACAGCUUUCCUUGUCAUAUAUACUAUGUCAUACUCAGCCAAUAGAACUUGCCAUCUUGCAAUUCGGCUUGAUAAAUAGGGCUUUUCACAAAUGUACCUCAACGGGUCUAAUUUGGAAAUUAACCACGUGGUGUGAUACAACAUAUACUGACGUAAUCUCUUUGCAGCCCAUGACAGUGCGCAACACAGCUUCUCAAUCACAGUAUACCUAGACUCACAUUCCGUGAACUUCUUGCUUAAGUAAUAAAUGGCCCUUUCCUUCCUUCCGGUUUCAUCGUGUUGCCCAAGCACACAUCCCAUUGCUGUUUCUGUUACUGUUAGGUACAAUAUCAAUGGCCUUUCUGGUACAGGAGGAACAAGCAGGGGUGGAUUCAACAAGUACUGCUUGAUUUUCUCAAAAGCCUCUUCGCACUCCUUAUUCCAAAUUCCAAAUUCCAGGGUUCUUCUUUCUUAACAAACGAAAAAUCGGGUCCCAAGUCGUGGUUAAUUGGGAUAUAAACCGAGCAAUGUAAUUCAAUCUUCCUAAGAAACCUCUCACAUCCUUCUCAGUCUUGGGAGGUGGCAUAGAUUGAAUAGCUUUUACUUAACCGGGGUCCACUUCUAUCCUUUUAUCACUCAUCAUAAAUCCCAACAACUUCCUAGAUUUCAACCUGAAUUAACACUUUGUGGUUAAGCCUCAACUUAUACUUCUUUCGAGACAAAUCCUUCAAUAUUUGGACAUGAUUCUCUCUUUCUCUAGGUUUAGCAAUCAUGUCAUCCAUAUCUUCAAUUUUUCUCUUAUUUUUUUCAUUGCCCGAAUCUAUGGUUUCAAGCUCCUCUCUGGCGGGUUUCCGAGCUUGUUCACGUUGUCCUAUUUUCAUCUACAUCUUCCUCUUCUAUAGCUACUAUGUAUUCUUAAGUUUGGCCAUUCAUUCUCAGUGUAAAGUGUAGAUGUUUGUUUUGAAAGAUCCGAUUUGAAAAUGGAAAGUGAUGUGUAAAAACAUCAAGAUGAACUUUUGAAAAUGCAUGAUCUCAUUAAAGGAAAAAUUGUCUCAAAACAUUUGCUUGAGCAAACCGAUUAGAUGCGCAACAUCAUUCCAAACUCCUUCAAGCUUUCUCUGGUACUGAGCUUUUGGGUGUAACCUUUCUUCAUUUUCCAACCUUUUCUCUAAUUGAGUGUCGUGGAUUCUAGAAGGGGGACCUAUGUUUCUCAGUCUGCAUAUGCGUGUAUAGAUGUAUAAGAAAAUGCAUGAUAUAAUGCAUGAUUGUGAUAAGAAUACAUUUGUAUAUUGGGUAUGGAUGCAACUUUCUUGUGAACGAAUAAUAGCCACCACCUUAUAAACAUAGGUUCUUUUGUCACAUUGCUAGGAGUACUACCUUUCAAGUCGUUUGCUUGAAUCAUAUUCACCAAGAGACAGAUUUUGCAUAAGAAGAUAGGUCAACGCCCUUUUCAUUAAUGCUUGAUAAGUUUAUUACAUUUAUAAAUGAAAAAAGGAAAUACAACAUAUUAAUCCCUUUCCUCCACAAACUCUCUAGCCAAAGGUAAAAAGGCAUAGCCGCGAUUCUCAAUCUUCCCUAGAAAGGCAUCAGUUUCAGCUAGGCUUCGGCGAUAACGAAUGAUGUCCCCUCCCACAUUCCGCGCAUUAAUUAUAAUAAUUCAAGCAUGUGCAGCAACUUCGUCCAUUUGCUCAUCUGUCUUGGUCAUCUUUUCUAUGAGCAACAUAUUGGUCUUGUUCAAAGCAGUGUUGUUGGAAAUGCUCUCCUUUUAUCCCCUUCUAGCAUCAUUUUUUUUCCAACAUUGUCUUGUCUUUUCUAUUUUUGCUCAACUCUAUCCAAAGUUUUUCCACUUGUCUUCUCAACUCUUCUUCAUUAUUGACCCUUUUCCUUUUAAGAGGCUCUUCUAUAGUUUGAGGAGAUUUGACUCCUACCCAAGGCAUGGCUGAAGAUGAUAAAUCUCUCCAUCUUGCAUAUCCUUCACUUGCACUUGGAUCCUUCAAACCUUCUAUCUCAACCAAAACUAGAUACUUCCAAUCUUGUUUGAUGAUCUCCAAGACUUCUUGUGCAAUGGGAUCUUUGAACAAACCAAAGAAUUGAGCAAUUCCCAUAGUCCUUGGAACAAAUUGCAUGCCCCCAAGUUGCUUUAUGACCAGGGCAGGAGCAUAACUCAUUAGGACUUUCACUGUCGUUACCCAUGGGGCUCUCCACUUGAAAUCACUAUUAGGCAAACCUUCUAAUUUGUCAACCCAACCUUGGUUGUCUAGAUCUCCCUAUUCUUCUUCUUCUACCAACUUCAGGGGUUUUUGGGUGAACCACCAAAAAUUAUUGAAGACAGGUUUUUUUGUUUCGAUAUGGCUAACCAUCCAGAUAUACAACAACUGCGUGCAACAUCUCAUUGCUCCUUUUCUGGUCCUCCUACAAUGAUUAAGCGUCAAGAUGGUUUCAGCUAAAAUAGCAGCCACUGGAUUGAUUUGUGUAUUUUCAUACUCUACAUAAGCAGCAGCGGCCUCCAAACUCACUAAACCCGUCUGACUUGGGAACAACACAAGGCCAAAUAUGCCCAAGGCAAUCAAUCUCUCCUUUUCUAAUCCUAACUUCUUUUCUAGUUCAAUUUCUAGCAUCCUCCAUUUCAGACCGGUAGCAUUCUUUUCCAAAAACUUUUCCAAGUUGGAGAUUCUGAGCAGUUUUGACAAUUCGGGGAUGAUCUUGUCCGAUCUCAAAGGCAAAUAAAUCUGAUACAGAUUGUUUGGAAACUCAGUCAAAACGUCCGUAUUUAUGGCUCGCACGGUAGUCUGGAUCAUAAGUCUAUGUUUCCAAAAGAAAAACACUGGUAGUCUGGAUCCCAAAAAUGAAUUAUGGCUCGCACGGCUGGGUUUAAAACUUCUACCCUGGCAAUUUCCAUCAAACGUCCGUAUUUAUUAAAAAAAUGCAUCCUUAUCCACAUCCUGAAAGUGAGUCGUUAACUUGUUCACCUCAUUCAUAAUGCAAUUCAGGUUCUUGAUUGGUGACAGUUUCUUAGCAUCGCUUCUAAGGCAGUCUCCUUCAGUCAAUUGUGACAGUUCAGAAUUUUUUAGCAAUGGUGGCCAUUUCGUUCACAAGUCCUGUGGUUCAAAAUGCCUUGGGGUUUGGAUGCAAAAGAUAUUAUGGAGCAUACAACCUUAAGGAUAGGUUCUAGUUCCUUUACGUGAGACAUAGGGUAGGUUUACUAUUUGGUCUCUAAAAAAGGGUCUCUUGCUGUCCCAGUGAUCGCCCUCGUAAAGGCAAUAUGGGGGUUCAGCAGAUAGUGGGAUGGCACAUGUACCAAUCACUAUCAGUCUAAACACUCAGCAAAGAGUUGGGGUUUACACAAACUUAAACCUUGACUCAAGUCAUAAGGCAAGCUGCUAGUCCCCCACCUAACUUAAAGUUUAAUGUGUGUGCCCUCAAAAAAGAUAAUAAUCAUAAAGUGAUGAAUGACUAUAUCAUGUAUGACAGAAUGUAAAGAUGCAUGCUAAAGCUUUUAAACAAAGUAUCAUUCAUAUAAGAAAACAACAACACAUGGCAAAACACAAACAAAAAAACAAUUACCAAGCUUAGUCCAAGGGUCCCCAGUGGAGUCGCCAUCCUGUCGCACCCUCCCGAGAGCUCGACAUCGCGGCGACCCGUCCUCGUAGCCGUGAUUGAUUGUUGGGGUCUUUCUGUUGUGAAAAAGGGAGUCGCCACCUAGUAUUAAGGUCACUAGAAAACCUAACUGGUCUUUCAGAGAUCCUAAGGCAAGGGACUGGUUGCGUAAAGGGAAGGUUUUAGCACCCCUAGUACGCCCUACCUAAGGUAAGCUGCUUGGUGUUUGAUUUGCCUUAUAACUGUCAUGGUGUUGAUGUUCUCUAAUCCCAUCCGUUUCCUAGGAUAAGUCUGCUCUGAUGAACAAAAUCUAGGGUGCUUUAAAAACCUAUUUUUGUCUUAAUGUUUUGUACUCUCACGGCUCGCAAACCGUGGAGUAAAAAAAUUUGAAAUGUCCUCGAUUAUAAUCAAGGCUUCUUUCAAGGAUGUGUGUAGAUUUAUUAUUCCUAGAAAAUUAUUUUGGAUAUUUACCACUCCGGGUUUCUUUAUCCAAAUAUUAAAAGUGAAUAAUAACAAAUUAUCCCCAAUAAUAUUUUGGAUAUUCGUCCUAUAAGGAUUUCUUUAUCCAAACAUUAGUGGUGAAUAAUAACAAAUUAUCCCCAAUAAUAUUUUGGAUAUUCGUCCUUUAGGGAUUUAUUUAUCCAAACAUUAGUGGUGAAUAAUAACAAAUUAUCCCCAAUAAUAUUUUGGAUAUUCGUCCUUUAGGGAUUUCUUUAUCCAAACAUUAGUGGUGAAUAAUAGAUGAAUUCCCCAAAAAUAAGAUUUUUAUAUUUUUUGGAAUAUUGGCCAAUACCCUUUGGAGUUUUACAAACAUGUUGUAAAAUCCAGAAAUGCAAGAAAAAUGAUUUUUGUUGUGUUUAAGAAAUCCAUGCGAAAACACAUUUUUGAAACUUCAAAUAUUUGUUUUUUAGAUAAAAAAAAACCUAAAAACAAUGUUAGGGUAUUGGCCGUAUGCAUGAAAACAAAACAUUUUUUUUAAUAAACAUUUUUUUUUGUUGACGAAAACCGGGUAUUUUAAUACCGGAUUUGUAUAUUUACAGUAUAAAAAUACAAACCGAUAUUGACCAAAAUACAGUAAUAAAAUUACAGAAAAAUCACAAAUUCUUUGAAAUAAUUUUUGAAGAAUUUUUAUUUUUUAUUAUUAUUAAUUUUUUUUUUGGGCUGGGCCCAUGUGGCUGGGCUGAACCCAGCAGCCCUCACGUGAACAGUGAAAUAACAUUUCACUGAAUUAUUUUUGAAGUGAACAGUGAAAUAACAUUUCACUGUUCAAGUGAAUUAUAUUUCACUUGAACAGUGAAAUGCAAGGAAAUGUACAGCGACGAAGGGGGCAAACCUGGUGGCGGUGGAGAGGAAGUGCUCUGUUCCUGGUAGUGUUGGUGUCGCGGCGGCUGGCUGUGACGGUGGUCAGUGGCUGAGGAUGACGGUGUGCUUCCGGUGAUUGCAGCGGUGGAGGCCGGCGUUGGAAGUAAAGGAAGAAAUCUGCAGAAAUUGGGCGAAAAUGCUGGUUUUUUGGCUGACUUUGGACCCGAUUUUCUCCUCCCCCAGGUCUUCAACAGAGAUUCUAUUUAUAGGCGGUUUAAGAGGGCCAUAUUGUCUAUAUUGGGGAAAAUUUUCAGCCCUUGAUUCGACUCGAGGAAUCCAAACCGUUGGUUCAAAGUGUGCACCUCGAGCUGCCAAAUUUGGCAGCUCAAGGCUGUGAACUGCCCGAGGUGGCCACUUAGAGCCACUCAACGGAGCUGUUUCUAAAUUUUUCAAACCGACCGGACCAUCCUCCGGGAUAAAGGGGUUUCAGGUGGACAUGUUGGUGCAUGUUUUGUCGGAUUUGAAGGCCAGACGAGCCGGAAAAUGCGCCUGGAAAGCAGCCACUCGGGCACCUUUUCGAGGAAGAAAGUGAACAGUAACUGGUUCAUUUUUUUUUAAAUGCAAAACGGCGCCGUUUUUUAUAAAAAUAGGGAUUUCUUUGCCAAUUCUCAAUUUAGUCCUCCGACUUUCAGUUUCGUUCAAUCUCAUCCCUACUUGACCAUUAAACUUUCAAUUUCUUCAAUUUGGCCCCCGAAUUUUGUUAAUUGCAGCCCCUAUACUUGCGCGCCUUUUCCAAUGUGGUCCUUGGUUUUGGAUUUCUUCAAUUAAGUCCCUAAUUGGCCCUUAAACUUCAAUAUUUAUGCAAUUAAGCCCUUGAUUUAACCAAAUCAACUCUCAAAAAUUAUAAUUUGACCCCAGAACUUUAAUUUCUUCCAAUUAAAGCCUAAAUUGACUUAAAACUCAAUUUUCCUUGCAAUCAAAACCUCUAUAAAUUCAAAUAAACCUUCAAUAAAAUCCAAUUGAGUCCAUAAACAUCCAAUUUUGGCCCUUUUCUCUUCAAAUUAAAUUUUCUCUUCCAACAGGGCUCUUCUCAGUCAAAUAUAUACUGUAAAAUUUCACUCCUUGCAUUUCUGAACCUCCUCAAUCAAUUUUUUUCUGAUUCUUUCUGAGCGCUCCCACCUCUUAUUAUUUUUCUAAUCUCCUUUGGCUUUUUAUUUUUGUUUUUUGUGGGGACCCAAAAAUGGGUUACAACAAUGGUUAGGGCUUUGUUAUUUCAAAUAUUACUCACUCUAAAAUUCAUUCACCGAAACGCAUGUUUACUUUAUCCAAUAUUUUAUAUGUUCCUGACAUUAAAAAACCUCUGUUAUUUGUUCAAAAGUUUUGUCUUGAGAAUAAUGUCUUCUUCGAAUUUCAUUCCUUUCUAUUUUAUGUUAAGGACCACAUGACAAAGGAAGUGCUUCUUUCCAGUUGGAGUAGAGAUAGUCUAUAUGUUUUGUUCGAGUCGUUUGCAACGUUAUUGCCUUAGGUUUUCUCAUCUACAUGUUUCUCUACUUUCGUUGAUGUCUGGCAUCAUUGACGUGGGCAUCCUAGUCCACAUAUUCUGCAUUUUUUGGUGAAAAAUAAAAAGGUGUCAUGUACGUCAAAUCAAUUUAAUUUUAAUUGUCCUACGUGCUUUCUGGGCAAGUCAUCUCAUCUGACUCUAAAAACUAUGGGUCAUCAAACUCGAGCUCCUCUUGACCUGAUUUUUAGUGAUGUUUGGGGUCCUUUCCCUAUGUUGUCAUCUAAUGGUUUUCACUAUUUUGUUAUCUUUGUGGAUGCUCAUACGAAGUUUAUAUGGUUUUAUACUAUGGUUGCUAAGUCUGAUGUUUUUAAUAUUUUUCAUUAGUUUCAGGUGCUCGUUGAGCGCCAAUUUUCUUUAAAAAUUAAAUCUGUUGAAACAAAUUGGGGUGGUGAAUAUCUAAAAGUUAAUACAUAUUUUAAAACAAUUGGUAUUCAUCAUCAUGUGAUAUGCCCGCACACUCAUGAACAAAAUGACAUGGUUGAACGCCGUCAUAAACAUAUUGUUGAAACUGGGCUUACUCUUCUUGGGCAAUGUAAGGCUCCCCUUAAUAUUGGAGUUAUGUUUUUGAAAGUUCUGUUUAUUUGAUUAAUCACAUGCAAACUCCGUUUCUUAAUCAUAAGACCCCUUUUGAAUGUCUUUUAAAAUCAUCUCAUGAUUAUGCUUUUCUUCGUACUUUUGGGUGUCUCUCCUUCCCAUUCCUUCGUCCAUACAAUGCUCAUAAGUUAGAUUUUCGUUCGUCUUCUUCUAUUUUUCUAGGAUAUAGUAACUCUCAUUUAGGUUAUCGAUGUCUUGACUUGUCAUCCAAAGGUAUUUAUCUUGUUCGUCAUGUCCGGUUUCAUAAAAAUGUUUUUCCUCAAAUCUUGCUCAUUGUACUCAUAAUUCACACCCUUCUCUUCUAAUACUAUUCUCACUCUCAUGCCGAAUAGGCUUCCCCUUGUAUCCAACAGUGUUACAACCAUUGUUGAAGUGGCAAAAACUUGUUCAACUAUGUGAAAGAAAGAAAUUCUUCAACUAUAUCAUCCAAUCCAAUUCUCAAUUGGGUCUAAAUAAGAAAGUCUCAUUAAUUCGAUCCUCCAUCUAUUGGGCAGUCCUCAAUUAGUCAUUUUUCUCAAAUUUAUCUUUAUUAAUUUAAAUCAUAAAUUUUGAUAGAGGGUUAAUUUGGUAAUGUUUGAUAGAUGAGGGAUUCAAUUGGAAAUUUGUUUUGUUUAGAAACUUAAUAGGUACUCAUGUGAUAGUUGGGGGACAAAUAUACCCUUUCCCUUCCUUUUUUUUUUUAAAAAAAUCAUCUCUGUGUUUGAAAUUAUUGUUACAAAGAAUUAAACACCAGUGGGUUGAUGUCCUAGAAUAUCAUGUGAUUUAGGUUUUAAAUUGAAUUAAAAAAAACAUUAAUAAUUUAAAACUUGGUUGAUAUAAGUUUUUUAGUCAUCUAUUGGCGUAAUUAAAUUUGACCAGGACAUAUCAAUGAAUAUUUUUUUAAAAAAUUUAUAUUAAUUUAUUAAAAUUAAUUAAUUUAGAUUGACAUGAAAAUCAACAACCUUUUCCAUACCAAUUCACGAAUCAAUACAAUAAUUAUGCUUUUUUAGAAAACUAUUGUACUCCCUCACCGCUAAUCCAACCCAAGUCACUUUGUUAUUGAUGAAAAUAAAAGUAUAGGUGUUUAAAUAAAAUCUCACAUGUCAUUUUCUACAAUUUAACAAAUUUGAGGUUUUCAAGGAAAAUUAUUUUUUAUUUGUUAUUUUAAUUUUUUUCUAUUUUAUAAAAUUAAAAAAAAAUAUAAAAAUAAAUAUCACUAUGGGGGGGGGCUAUUUUGUUGCAAAGAAAUUUUACAUGGAAGAAGUACAAAUGGGAAAGGGGGAGAGGAGGGUCGAGCGUCAUGUCAUAUAUUAAAUAUUACCAUUGGAUUUACUGAUAAAAUUAUUCUGAUAGUGACUCCAUCGGUCAUUCUAUCGAUAUCAAUGCCAUGUCAUUGUACGAUUUUCCUCUUUGUAUCCCACUGUAAUUGUGUCGGUAACUGCAUCUGUAAAAACUUACAUGUCAUCGUAUUGUCUUAUUUUUUUAUUCAUUCUAUUCCAACUAUGAUUCCCUUGGUACAUAUUUCAAUGACAUAUUUACAUCGUUGUUUACUAAUGGAGUUAGCAAUGGAAAAAUUCGGUUAGUAAAUAUCACUGUAAAAUACCGAUAGAAAAAAUCCGUCAGUGUUUCCAUAUGUAUUCGCCAAGUUUUUGGUAGUGAUGCUCAAGCUUAUAGUCUUUAGGUGGAUUUUGACCUAGAAAGCAUCUCUCCAAGAAAGGGGUGGUACCAUGUGUUUAUAAACUGCCCAGACCUUCAAUUUCUAGCUCAUUAAGGAUAUUAGUAUCACCAUAAACUUUAGAUAGCUUUUGGAUACUCUUCCAGGACAAAAGAGACAAUAGAGAUAGAAAACAAAAAACAAAAAAUGAGAUAGAGACUGAAUGUGUUUGGUAGUAAUGUACAAGACAAAGUAAUUAUCUCUAUAUCCUGUUUGAUUUUGUUGAACAAGACAAAAUAAAAUAAAAUAAAAUUUAGUUUACCCUUAAUAUAAAUUAUUGCCAGACUUAUAUACUUUCAAAAAUAAUGAAAUAUUUUUUUUACUUUAGUUUAUAUUUUGUGUUGAAAUUAAUAAUAUUAUAAUAAUCAAGGUUAUAAAACUAGGGCUGACUUAAUGGGUUGAGACAUGGACUGGUUCAAGUUUAAAAAUAAAAUAAAGGAAGGAUUAACUUGACCAAUAUUUACAAUAAAUAUGUUAAGCAUGAUUUUAAGAUUGCUUGAAAAAAAAACUAAAGUGUCAGAGAAUAUUAAAAUAUUCUUUUAAGAUUGCUUGAACUAAAUAAAAAUGAUUCAUCAACAUGUAUGAUAGAUAAGGAAAGAGUAUAUUUCUCAGUUGAUUGUAAACUAGUCUGAGAAUAUUUUUUAAACAAAUACGUAUCAACUAAAUUGUUAAUAAAAAAUGAUAAAAUGGUUAUCCAUACCAUAAUCUAUCAAUUUAACAUACAGUUUUAUUAUACAUGUUGAUGUUCUAUCAUGAAAUCAACCAUAUCUUAAUUGUUACCUCAAGAUUCGUUUCAAAAAAGUUCUUGCAGCUUUCCUCACCUUUGAGUGAUUAAACAAGGAAACUUAGAGAAAAAAAGAGAACUCAAAUUACACGAACUUUUCUUAAAAUUUAACUAGUGGUAUCACUUGUGGUCAUGCACUACAUGACAUAUUUUGAAGUUUCAUGGAAACUAUGAUGAUGGUGGUCCAAAUUUGUCAUCUGGUUAGCCUCUCAAGAAGUAUCAUUUCAUGCUUGGGUUUAUAGUCUUUUGGUGGAUUUUGUCCUAGAAAGAUGUCUCAUAACGAGAAGGGUGAUACCUAGAGUUUAUAAAUUAUCUAGACCUUCAACUUCUAAACCAUGAAGGAUAUUAGUAUCAUCAUUAUCCUUACAGUUGAGGGGCUUUAUUAGAACUUGAGAGCACAUAACUCAUGUUUCCAAAAAUGACAUCACUAAUAAUAUUGGUGUAUAUUUGUGACAUGACUGACCUCUUAAAAGUUAUUUGUUCCAAAUCCGUUACAUGACUGACCUCUCAAAAGUUAAGAGCACAUAGCCUCACAUUGAAUUUUGUUCUAAAAAGACUUUUUUAACAUGAAAAAGGCAGGGGCGGAGCAAGAAAAAAUAAUCAAGGGGGGCCAAAUUAAAAAAAUUACUCUAAAAGGGGUUAAAAUUUCAAGGGAGGGGCUGAAAAUUUUUUUCCUUGCAGGGGCCGGGGCCCCUACCAGCCCCCUGCUUCCGCCACUGGAAAAAGGAUGUACUUUAGACUUAUAAACGGUCUAAAUCCUCGACCCCUAGCAGUUAUGAGAUAUUGGUAUCUUACUGUCAAUUCAACCUAAUAUCAGUAAUCACUCCUUUCUAGUUUGAUGUAGCCGUGAUUCUGAUAACCGGUGAUUUUGAAUAGUAAGAUAGGAUCUUCUAUAAAUAAAUAAGAAUCUGCCCAAGAUAAAUUAUAUGGAUAGCCAAGUAGAUGCAUUUAUGGAUCAGUGCGACAAGUCCAGGACUAGGGUUGGCUCUCUUAACAUGUGACUCGGGCCUUCCCAACGUCGACCCCUCGAGUUAAAUUUUAAAACUAUAAUAAUGAUCACUUUUUUUCUUUUAUUGACUUGGGUCAGUGGUUAACCCCACUCAUGACCUGAGCUUUUUCUUGGGUCGACUCUCGAAUCAGAUUUGAAAACUAUGAUAAUAACCAUUUUUAUUUUUAUGCUGACUCGGGUCAACCCGACCUAAGACCCGAGUCUGGACUAGUGACCCAGGUUUUGCCCUGGAUCGAAUCUCAAGUUGGGUUUUAAAACUAUGAUAAUAACAUUUUUAUCCUUACAUGUCUUAGUUGGAUAGUUUUGGAAUUAAAAGUUUUGUAUAAUGAUAAAAAUAAUAAAUAUUGUCUCUAGAGAAAGCCUUUGCCUUUCUCCCUAUAAACGAUGAUGAUGAGUGAUGCAACCAUAUUAUUUGAUAGUUUCACCCACAUUUAACUCAUGUUUUGCCUUAUAUAUAUAUAUAUAUAUAUAUAUAUAUAUAUAUAUAUAAAAUGCCUUGAUAAUCUUUAUUUUAUGUUUUGAAGGCACUUUUGGAUGAAAGAUGCAAAAAGGAGUAAAUUAGAGGUAAUUGACAGAUUUGACCUUCCUUCAGUCCAUGUUUUCGCAGAGCGUGAUCUCUAGAGGUCAAAAUGAAGUGAUUCCAGUGGAAUUAAAAAGCUGACACUAUACCUUUCUAGACAUCUAACACAAGAAAAUAAAAUAAGGAAGAGCAUGGAAAUCGCAGCCUUUAAAGUCAAAUCUCAUCUGCCAGUGUUGACCUUCGGCCAUUCCUACUUAAAUAUGUGGAGCUACAGAAGUCCAAAAAUGAUGUCUUCUGAGGGAGAUAUGAUUUUUCAAAGAUGAAAACUGAAUUCUGCCAGCAAACAGGUUUUGUGAAGAAACGAGUUCAAAUUAUGUUCCGAAGCAUCUAAACCGACAUCCAAGUUUUUAUUUCAGCAAUUUAGCUCUUCUAAGUCAAAGCUUGAAGAUUUCAUGCAAGGCUAUUUCUCUUUUUUAGGAUAAUAGUUAUUGAAGUACUUAAAUGUAAACUGUCUACUUAAGGGAGGACUAUUUUUUUAAAUAGAGACUAGGAUUUCCUAAGAUAUAAAAAGAAUGAGAGAAGAGAACGAGAGCCAACCAAGAAGAGAAAAACGCCCCCUUCUCUAAGAAACCUGAAAUCAUGCAUUCCUCCUUCUUUUUUAUUAGUUGUUCAACAAACAUGCAAGGCUAAACUCUUUAUCUUGGUUGCAAGGACAUGGAAACCUUCGGAUUUCAAGAACUAUGAGAUCUAUUUUACCUUUUCUUUUCAGUUUAUAUGAUGAAUAUGUUUGUUCUCCUAUGCUUAAUUUUCCUAUGAGUGUUUAUUUUAAUUGCUAGAGCGUACUCUAAGUUAUUAUUGUAGACAAUCUAUUGCUAAGGUUUGAUAUCAAAACCGGAGUUGUGGUAUAUGAACUUUAGAAGCAACUGAGUUUAAUAAUUGUGGCGGAUCUAUGUUAUUAAUAUUAGAGAGAACAUUCAAUCAAAUUAAACAUAAACUGCGGACAAUUAUGUUUUCUUGAUUAAUCAAUUUAUCUAGUUCUUAAGGUUGCCAUUGAAUUAAAUUACUAGUGCGGACACUAUGGUUGUUUGAUGGUUAGGGUUAGUUAUACGACGAAUCCGUUAACUAACCAAUGUUAAGAAGAGAUAAACAUUUAGAAUAUAAAUUGGUAUCUCGUUUCCAUGAUCAAAUUUGUUUUCUAUAGGUGGACAUUUACUUGUGACCAAGGUUUGUUCUCUUGAUAAUUUUCUGAUUUUAUUUAAUUUCGCUUGAUAGUUUUCUAUUUUCUUUUGCUUUAUCCUAGAUAACGUCCAGACCCCCUCCCCAAAUUGCAUAUCAUCUAACAUAAAAAUUUGACUUGAACCUUCCUCGUGGGAUCGACCCCUUGCUUGCUCUAUACUAUCUUGUGUGUUGUGUUUUAAUCUAGGGUAUGUAAACGAUGAUGAUGAGUAGACUAGAUAUCAACUGUAAAAGUUUUCAUCAAGUAUUAAUAAAAAGGGCAUAGAUCCAACCAUAUGAGCAAUAUCUCUUUUAUGAUGAGUGUAUUUUUAUUAAGCAUUGGCUCAUAUUAAAUUUUCUUGUAUGUUAUUUUAUUUUUAUUUUCUUAAGAAAAAUCCAAAAAAAUUAAGAAAAAGUUUAAAAUUCAAAAAUAUAUUUUUCUCGGGUCAACCUUAUUUGUUACAUAAAAAACGAGCUCACUAGGUCAAUACAAGUCAAACCAUAUCAACCGGGAUAAAAAUGAGUUUCAAGCCAUUUCGGGUCAAAACUAUCAUUUUCGGUGAAAACCGAUCCGACAUACAUCAUCAUGCAUAAUCAUACAUCCAUAUGCAUCUACAUUUAUGAAUUAUGGAAUUUUCAUGGCAGGUAUUUAAAAUAUAGGUCCUCUUACUAAAGUCUACAAUACUAGGCUUCACAAAAGGAUGAAGAAUGAAAAAAGAGUUCACUUGGAGGCCUACUACCAAAAAGAGUUGGAAGACGUUAAGAAUAAUAUGGCUCGGAUGUCUAGUUUACUUUAGCAAAUCCUGGCUAGGAACCAAUCAUGACAGUCAUGAUAAAGUGAAUAAUUAUUCAUCUUUGGUGAGAAAAUUCAUACACAAGACUUCAAACAAAGUUGCAUGAACAUUGCUAUUUGACAUGAAAUUGAAAAAAUAUCAGGCUUUCGAAAAGACAAAGUAAAUCUUAUAAAAUGCUUGUUAGGGAAAACACCCUAAAAUAAAACCAAAAACAUGAGUCAUGUGUAUUUGAGAAAAGUACACAAAAAACAACAUUGUCAUAAGGCAAGGAGUUAUAAUGCAUUCCCAAUUGUGAUAGUAUUCAUCAUGGCCUAAAUACUCACAAAAGAGAAGGCAAUAAAGGCAGUUUGAUGCUCAAAAUUUAAAAGUAACUCACACGAAUAUGCUCGGGUAAAUUGGGAAGAUGAGCCGACAAAAGUGACUACCUAGAAAAUUACAACUGUUAGCAAUCAAAAGAAGAGAUUAUUAAGAAAUGGGGGGUCUAUAUUUUGAAAGGCAUGCAUUGCAUAUGAUUAAAACUUAACUUUGAAAUAGUGUUGGUGCAAUAUUCUUCAAUCAAGAGGAAAAUGCGAUGAAAUUUGCAUGAAAUGGGGGGUCUAUAUUUUGAAAGGCAUGCAUUGCAUAUGAUUAAAACUUAACUUUGAAAUAGUGUUGGUGCAAUAUUCUUCAAUCAAGAGGAAAAUGCGAUGAAAUUUGCAUGGGUAAACAGAAGUUGAGAAAUGGCAAAGAAAUCUCAUCCAUAUGAUGUGGAUAACUAAGGCCAUAAGACAAAACACUCGUUUUAAGAGUUUACCAUUGGAGGGUAUUUUUUUUUAAUCUUGUUUUAGUAAAGUUUUGAAGGAAUUUGUUGAAGAUCCUAAGUUUGAAUUUCAAAAUAGGUAGUCCGCUCAUGAAAAUUGAAAAAUUUUAUGGAAGUGUGAAUGUUUGUUCAAGUUCUUUUUGGAAUUUGAAAAUGGCAGGUCACCCAUGAAAAAAUGCCAACUUUUGAAUUUCAAAAUGGAUAGGCCGCCUAUAAAAAUAGACCAAUUUCAAGGAAGUAUGGAUGCUUGUUGGAGUUCUUUUUGGAAUUAGAAAAGGGUAGGUCGCCUAUGAAAAUAUAACAGUUUUUGAAUUUCAAAAUGGACAGGUUGCUUGUGAAAAUAGACCAAUUUUAAGAAAACAUAGACAUUUGUUGAAGUUCUUUUUGGAAUUUAAAAAGGAUAGGUUGCCCUUAAAAAUAGGCUACCUUUUGAAUUUUAAAAUAGACAGGUCGCCCGUGAAAAUAGACCAAUUUCAGAGAAGCAUGGACACUUGCUGAAAUUCUUUAUAGACUAAUUUUAGGAAAGUAUGGAUGCUCAUUGGAGUUUGUUUUUGGAAUUGGAAAAGGACAGGUUGCCUCUAAAAGUAGACCAGUUUUUGAAUUUCAAAAUGGACAGGUUGUGAAAAUAAACCUGUUGUAACUCAAUUUUGGCCCAUUAGUUUUUAAUUUAAUUUUAUGGGGUUUAAAACGUAAAAUGAAAAGAUUAGGGAUUUAUUUCGAUGAAAAGUGUGAUUUGUCAACUUGCGCAGAAAAUAGAGACUACAAUGUGUUUUUGUCAUUCUAUCCUUAUCUUCAAGAUAACCCUUAUCUUUAAGAUAAUGAUAGUUAUCCGCUUUUGAAUUUGAUUCUUAAUCAAAUUUAAACUUCAAAGAAGAGAAUGAGUUUGAUUCAAACUUUAUUUCUCAUAUGCGAUGAGAUUUUUGCACUAUAAAUACAGAUCUCAGGGUAUAAAAAAAAGGGAGGGAAAAAACCCUAAAAGAAGAGGCUAAAAUUACAAAAAUCAAGAGACUUCAGAAAAAUAAAAAAAGGACUUUAAAACGAAAAAAAGGGGAGGCGGCUGAAUCCUACCCUGGUGACCGCCUCCCCCCCUUUCAGAUUUUUCUCAUUUCUUCCUUGUCUCAACCCCUAGGAGCUGCAACUCCUCACAAUAAAAAGAAGCAAAUAAAGGCCCGAUCGAGAUCGUCUUCCUCCCUCCCGGUCACCUUUUUUAGGCCGUUGUCUCCAUCGCCAUUAAUCUUCGCCAUGUCUGCCUCUAAACCAAAACCAUGAACUACAUUGGCCUGUGAUCCUCCUUACUCCGAAGAUUUGCUGAGUUUAAAGGAACCAUGGUUUUUGUUUGGAAAAGCACAAGCUUUGAUCGGAUGCAGGGGGCAUGAAAACUUUUACAGUGGACGAAACCAAUAUCGUCAAGAUUAGUAGCAACUCAACCACCUCCAUGCACCAUGAGCAUGCAUCAGCAACCAACAAGGUGCACCUCCUCCAACUCCAGCAGCAGUCCAGCACCAUCCAGCAAGCAGCAUGCUACUCAUCCUGCACUAGCCGUGAACAACAAUAGAUUGCACCUCCAGCGAGCGACUUUCUCUGCACAGCACCGUGAACAUGCAACCGCAAGGCCAACCACACUCUUUUCAGCUACAGUCAUCACCAUCCUUCCAUCGUUAAAGUAGCUUCCUCCUCCGCGCCAGAAAUGCACAACCAGUAGAGAUAAGGGGGAAGACAUAGCAAAACGAUUGAAGAGAAAACAAUUAAGCAAAUAACAGAGCAAGGCAAUUGAGAGAGAACAGAAGAGGAGACAGAGAGAGGGCGGAAGAACUAGGAAAGUAACACAGGGGAAAGUAAACCAGAGAGAGAGAGAGAGGGGAGUGAGAUUGAAAAGGAAAGGGAAGAGCAGGACGUUCUUCGGCCGGAGCUAGGAUCAUCACCCUCGUCUUCGUCUCCGUCGUUGUCUUCACCUAGGUAAGCAUUCUUUCUCCCACCCCACAAUUCCCUUUCAAUUUUGUUCAAAAAAGUGCGAAGGUAAAAAUUAAUUACCUUCGCACUGUGCAGUAAACCAGUUGACGCGUGCCUGCUUCUUGGCCCGGUUACCGGCCUGAGCUUGUAACCGGGUCGGGCUAGAUCCAGCCUCGCUCGUACGGCUGGGCUCGAUCCAGCCUAAAAAAAAAAAGUAAACAAAAAAAGAAAAAAGUGUAGAAAAAUUGUUUAUUCUUCAUUAACAAUUCAAAAACUUUGUGAACUUGUUCACUAAUACUAGAGUCAAGAUUAUCAUAUUUUUUUGGGUUUUAUGCGAUAUUUACCAAUGCUAGAGUUGGAAAUAUUUGUAGGAAUUGUUCAUUAAUGCUAGAGUCAGGAACAUGAAAGGAAAAAUAAAAAAGAAAAAGGAGAACAAAUUCUUUAGCAAUUUAAGAUAGAACCAACAAUUCAGCUUGCUUCGGAUAGGAUGCUUAAGGGGUGAUAAUAUCUUUCCUUUCGCGUAACUAGUCACAUACCAUAGAAUCUAUGUUGACCAGUUAGGGUUCCUAGUGACCAUAAUACUAGGUAGUGACUCCUUGAACUAGACAUCCCCCCCAAAGAACAAGGUGUCAGACAUCUGUUCUUUUUCCAAUCAAGAUUAAUUUUUAAUCGGUCGUCGCAAUGUCCGGGUGUGACAAAACCAAUUUCAAGGAAGCAUGAACGUUUGCUGAAGUUCUAUUUGGAAUUUGAAAAGGGUAGAUUGCCCUUGAAAUUAGGCCACCUUUUGAAUUUCAAAAAUGGGCAGGCACCCGUGAAAAUGGACCAAUUUCAGGGAAGCAUGGACACUGGCUGGAAUUCUUUUUGAAUUUUAAAAAGAUUAGAUCGCCCGUGAAAAUAGACUAAUUUUUUGAAUUUUAAAAGCAAAGUCUUUGGAUGGGUGGAUAACCUAGCAAGUCAGAUAUACAAUUGGAGAAGGUAUAACCAUGUGAAAACUCGAGGUGAAGUCCAUGUAGCCUGCCCAUUCAUGUUCUUUCAAUGUUUAAUGAUGUUUUUGAAUUUUUUUGGCAUUAUUUAUAUUUUUAACAUUUAUAUAGAUUGAUGAAUGGAAAUGUUAUUUUGAUUGAAGUUGAUGACAUGUUUAAAAGGUGUUUAUGUGUUUGUUUUUGACAAAGUUAUAAGUUUUGGAAUCUGUCUAAGGUAGCAGUAGGAGUUUGAUGGCUUUUACUAGGUUGCUAAUGCAUGUUUUUGGUUACUGAGUUUAGUUUGGGUCUCAAAGUGUUUAAAAAGUCAGUUUUGGAUUGAGUUUUAAUGUUUUUCUUGGUUGAUAAUAGGGUUGUAGUUUUGGAAGUUGAAAUCUUACAAAUGUUCUUGAUGAUUCAAGGUUAUUUGUUAGUGUUUUUUAUUCAAACUUGUUUGUUUAUGAUAAUGUAGUUUGUUAGGGCUAAGAGAUCUUGGUUUGGAGGCCUAAAAUGUAUUUUCUAGGUUUGAUAGUGUAUGCUGGAUGUGUUUUUAGGUCGAUCCGAUCGGGUCAAAAUUAGUGUUUUUGAGGCUUUGUUUGGUUUGCAACUAUUUUGAUAAGAGGAAUUUUAUCAUAAGGGUGUGUUUGACAAACACGUCAUUAGGCCUGUUUUGACAAUUUUGUUUUGAACAAAAAUAUGAUUUUGCCAAACAUGACCCAAAAAAAUUAAUGUUUUUUUGCUUGUUGCAUACGGCCCAAUCCUUAUAAAAAAAUUGCUUUUUAAUUUAUGAAAAAGGAGAAAAAAUAUUUUUAGCAUGGUUUUAGAAAAAUUGCAUCUUUUGGAAUUUACACCAAGUUUGUAAAAAUCCUUAAGAAUUUGGCCAAUAUUUCAAUAACUCUAAAUUUUUAAUUCAUGAAAAUUAAUGGUCAUCAUCCUAGUCUAAAUAUUGGACCUAUAAGGAGACUAGUAUUUAAUACUAGGAGUUGACUAGAAAUGUUUUAGGAUUAUUUUAGAUAUUUAUUAAUUUUAAUUGAGAGUAAUUUGUUAUCACAAUAUACGAGUUGUGGAGAAGCAUUUUGUCUACUAGGAUAGGUGAACCAUGUUAGGGCACCUACAUAGACCCCUGCCAUAAGAAUUUAUUUGGGCAUACGAGCGUAUAAUAAACUCAAGAUGCCAAAUUUAUUCAUGGGAGUAAAUCUUUAUUAAGAGCCAUAUACAGAUUAUCGAUUAGGAACCCAUCAAAAUCGUUAAACCAUAUCUAGACUAUGUAAUGCAGCUUCCCUCAGGUAAAAUAUGCUACAAGUACUAAUACUUUUUGUAACCACAAUCAAUCUCUUAUCCUUAAAAUUUAUGUUAAAAUUAGCAUAGUUAUCAUACUUGACCUGGGGUUGACCCGGGCAAGGAGCCAGGUUCCGAGUUACACGAGUUGACCAGGGUCAACCCGAAAAAAUUUAAAAAAUAUAUUUGAAGUUUUAAUAUUUCAUAUGAAAAAAUUAAGAAACAAUCUAUAUGAAUAUAGACUAUAUAUGUUAUAAAUAAUGAAGUUUGAAAGAUUAUUUCAAAAGGUUUUUUAUUCCAUAUUGAAAAGAUACUAUGUUAGUAUGUUAUAAUUUUAAGUUAAAGUAUUUAAAUCAAAAAGGUUUUUUUUUUCACAUUGAAAAAACAUAACUUUUUUCUUGUAAACAUAGAGUAUAUAUACUAAAGGGCUUCAAAUUCCACAUUGAAAAAAUAAUUUUUUUCUUGUGAAUAUAGAGUAUAUAUAUACUAAAGGGUUUUAAAUCUUACAUUGAAAAAAUGAAAUAUUCUUCUAGUAUUUAUAUAGUGAACUUUGAAAAGGGUUAAUAACCAACUAAAAAAAUAUAAAAAAGAGGUCUCUACCUAGAAGAAAAAACACAUUUGAAAAAAACAAAAAAAAAGGUCUCAUCCGGGUUUAAUCGAGUCGCCUAGGUCACGGGUCAACCAUGUUUUGCCGGAUUUUUACUCAUUUCAAUCUUUUAUCUUACCCAAAACGGUCCAGCGAUCAAAUCCCAAGUCAACCUACCGGAUCGAUCUAAGUUGAAUAACUAUGAAAAUUAGUACAUUCAAGUCUUCUAAUAACCACAUACCAAAUAAUUAAAUAACAACUCCUCGAUCCUGAUAUCCUACAUCAUAUGCGUGCAUGUGCCACAAAGCUCAACACUAUCAUUUUCGUACAAAGACUAAUACUGUAUAUAUUAUAGAAGGAGAAGGAAACAAAACGACAGGGAAAGAGGCUUAUGAGAGCAAGAGGUCCUUGACGUAAUUUGCUAGAAUGUUCAACAUGUCUAGGUCAUGCAAUAAAUAAGACGACUAGGAAACCCACCACACUAACUCCCUUCAGCCUUUUCUUCCAACAAAUACUAGCGUUUCCACUCUGUCAGACCUCAGCCUUUGGAGUCCAAGAAGCGUAGCGAUACUUGAAGCAUCUUCUUUUUCACUUCAAGAAUGGCUGGUGAUCAAGUAACCCUGUUGGAUUUCUGGUCAAGUCCAUUUGGUAUGAGAGUGAGAAUAGCAUUGGCUGAAAAGGGUGUAAAGUAUGAGUACAGUGAACAAGAUUUGUGGAACAAAGGUGCUUUAUAUCUUCAAAUGAAUCCUGUUCACAAGAAAAUCCCAGUUCUUGUCCAUGAUGGGAAACCUAUUUGUGAGUCACUUAUCAUUGUUCAGUAUAUUGAUGAGGUGUGGAAGGAUAAGGCUCCUUUGUUGCCUUCUGAUCCCUACGAGAGAGCUCAAUCUAGGUUCUGGGCAGAUUUUGUUGAUAAG